GUGCCAGCCGCCGCGGUAAUACGUAGGGGGCGAGCGUUGUCCGGAUUCAUUGGGCGUAAAGAGCUCGUAGGCGGUUCGGUAAGUCAGGUGUGAAAACUCCAGGCUCAACUUGGAGACGCCACCUGAUACUGUCGUGACUAGAGUCCGGUAGGGGAGCAUGGAAUUCCUGGUGUAGCGGUGAAAUGCGCAGAUAUCAGGAGGAACACCAGCGGCGAAGGCGGUGCUCUGGGCCGGAACUGACGCUGAGGAGCGAAAGCGUGGGGAGCGAACAGGAUUAGAUACCCCGGUAGUCC
This 293-nucleotide ribosomal RNA is filed under the name uncultured bacterium. Its description in RNAcentral is "partial 16S ribosomal RNA". It matches the Rfam family "Bacterial small subunit ribosomal RNA", at positions 505 to 796 of the family's 1533-position model. The record is from RNAcentral.